Molecule: ribosomal RNA, 168 nt
Filed under: uncultured rumen bacterium
Lineage: Bacteria
Description: partial 16S ribosomal RNA
Rfam family: Bacterial small subunit ribosomal RNA
Source: RNAcentral
UACGGUGAGGCAGCAGUGGGGAAUACUCCACAAUGGGGGAAACCCUGAUGGAGCGACGCCGCGUGAGUGAAGAAGGGCUUCGGAUUGUAAACUUUAGUGAGCAGGGACGAUAGUGACGGUACCUGCAUAGCAAGCCACGGCUAACUACGUGCCAGCAGCCGCGGUAAU